This is a long non-coding RNA of Anser cygnoides (Swan goose), 1556 nucleotides long. NCBI's taxonomy places the organism in Eukaryota, Metazoa, Chordata, Aves, Anseriformes, Anatidae. The record is from Ensembl.
CCUUUCUCCCUGCCCCAGACCAGGGCUGUGCCCUGCAGCUCCUGCCCAUGGUCCCUGAAAUGCCGGGGCUUUCAUUUCUGUGGGAGAGCAUCCAGGUGCUGGUCCCCACAGAGGAGCUUCCUCCCCACCAGCUCUGCCCAUCCCAGAGGGGACAGCCCUCCUCUGCUUAGCCCUGCACCCAGGGCACAGCCAAGGGCUGAGUGAAGGGGCUGUCUUAGGGCAGGUCUGGGAGCCUCUCUGAAAAAUGCCUCAUGCCAAGGGAACUGGUCUCCUCCCAACGGUGCCCAUCCACAGCAGUGCUGACCACAAGUCAGGGCAGAAGGGCUCAUCCCAGAGCACCCAGCUCUCUGCAGGCUCCUCUUCAGAGGCGUCCCUGACCCAGCUGCAGCCCUACCCCAGGCACAGUGAGGAGGAGGAUGGUCUGGAGCCACCCCAGGGAUCAGAGCUGGGGUGGGGGGAGAAAGAGCUCCAUGUCUCCUGCCUGCAGACCGACAGACAGCGGUGCCACUNNNNNNNNNNNNNNNNNNNNGGGGGCACAUCUGCAGGGCCCUUUCUCCCUGCCCCAGACCAGGGUUGUCCCCUGAAGCUCCUGCUCAUGGUUCCUGAAAUGGUUGGGCCGUGAGGUCUGUGGGAGAGCAUCCAGGUGCUGGUCCCCACAGAGGAGCUUCCUCCCCACCAGCUCUGCCCAUCCCAGAGGGGACAGCCCCUCUCUGCCUGGCCCUGCACCCUGGGGACAUCCAAGGGCUGAGUGAAGGGGCUGUCUUAGGGCAGGUCUGGGAGCCUCUCUGAAAAAUGCCUCGUGCCAAGGGAACUGGUCUCCUCCCCACGGUGCCCAUCCACAGCAGUGCUGACCACAAGUCAGGGCAGCAGGGCUCAUCCCAGAGCACCGCUGCAGGUCUCUGCAGGCUCCUCUUCAGAGGCGUCCCUGACCUGGCUGCAGCCCUACCCCAGGCACAGUGAGGAGGAGGAUGGUCUGGAGCCACCCCAGGGAUCAGAGCUGGGAUGGGGGGAGAAAGAGCUCCAUCUCUCCUGCCUGCAGACCGACAGACAGCGGUGCCACUGAGUGCCAUCAUCAGAGCUGGAAGGACGAGGGCUCUGCUUUGGCCCUGACACCAGCAGCAUAUGUCCCUGUCCUGCCCGGAGGUGACCCAGCAGAUGGCUACGAUGAUGCUGGGGAGGUGUCUGACCCUGGGGAGGAUCCUGUCCCUGGGCAGGGGGACUGGGAAGUGCCCAGGAUACCAGAGGAAGGAGAUGGGCCCAGGGAUGCAGCCACAGGGGGAAGCCUGCGCUCCCAGAGAAGUGCUGGGGACCCUGGAGCUGAGGGAGACACCUCGUCCCCCUUCCCGGGAAGCAUGGGCUAUGACGAUGCUGAAGAGGUGUCUCUGGCAUGUCCCCACGAGGACACCCAGGAUGUGUCACCAGAGCCCCAUGCACAAGGGUCCCAGAGCCCCAGGCCAGCAGAGCCCAGCCCUGCUGAGCAGCUGGGUGCAGCCAGGAGGGAGGAGAGCUCAGUGCCACUGGGAGAGCUGUGAGCACCAGGGAACGGUCUCCCUUUU